This 880-nucleotide ribosomal RNA is filed under the name uncultured bacterium. Its description in RNAcentral is "bacterial SSU rRNA". It matches the Rfam family "Bacterial small subunit ribosomal RNA", at positions 95 to 988 of the family's 1533-position model. The record is from RNAcentral.
GCGGCGAACGGGUGAGGAACACGUGAGGAAUCUGCCUUCCACUCUGGGAUAACUCCGGGAAACCGGGGCUAAUACCGGAUAUUUUCAACUGGCGGCAUCGCCGGUUGAAGAAAGUUUUUCGGUGGAAGAUGACCUCGCGGCCUAUCAGCUUGUUGGUGAGGUAAAGGCUCACCAAGGCGACGACGGGUAGCCGGCCUGAGAGGGCGACCGGCCACACUGGGACUGAGACACGGCCCAGACUCCUACGGGAGGCAGCAGUGGGGAAUAUUGGGCAAUGGAGGAAACUCUGACCCAGCGACGCCGCGUGAGGGAUGAAGGCCUUCGGGUUGUAAACCUCUUUCAGCAGGGAAUAAGCGAAAGUGAAGGUACCUGCAGAAGAAGCACCGGCUAACUAUGUGCCAGCAGCCGCGGUAAUACAUAGGGUGCAAGCGUUGUCCGGAAUUAUUGGGCGUAAAGAGCUCGUAGGUGGUCGAUCACGUCGGAUGUGAAAUUCUGAGGCUUAACCUCGGACCUGCAUUCGAUACGGGUUGACUAGAGUGUGGUAGGGGAGACUGGAAUUCCUGGUGUAGCGGUGGAAUGCGCAGAUAUCAGGAGGAACACCGAUGGCGAAGGCAGGUCUCUGGGCCAUUACUGACACUGAGGAGCGAAAGCGUGGGGAGCGAACAGGAUUAGAUACCCUGGUAGUCCACGCCGUAAACGGUGGGCGCUAGUUGUGGGAACCUUCCACGGUUUCUGCGACGCAGCUAACGCAUUAAGCGCCCCGCCUGGGGAGUACGGUCGCAAGACUAAAACUCAAAGAAAUUGACGGGGCCCCGCACAAGCAGCGGAGCAUGCGGCUUAAUUCGACGCAACGCGAAGAACCUUACCAAGGCUUGACAUA